CGCGGGGUAGAGUAGUGGUUACUCACCGGCCUCAUAAGCCGUUUACGUUGGUUCGAAUCCAACCCCCGCAACCA
RNAcentral lists this transfer RNA (74 nucleotides) under subsurface metagenome. RNAcentral describes it as "tRNA-Met". It matches the Rfam family "tRNA". From Rfam's summary of the family: Transfer RNA (tRNA) molecules are approximately 80 nucleotides in length. Their secondary structure includes four short double-helical elements and three loops (D, anti-codon, and T loops). The record is from RNAcentral.